AAACUUCAAAUACCGCCCUUGUCGUUUAAUGUGUAUAUAAAAUAUCUCAUAAUUUUUUUUUUUUUAUCCCCUCCAUUACUUUUUUUCAUUAAAUCAGUGAUGAAGUUAAAAUUAAAAGAUGCUAAAGUAAAUAUUCGAUAAACCUAGGUGGAAUAUCUAAAGUAUUUUUUGUAUAUAAUUUAACGAAAUGUUAACGGAGCUGACGAAAAGAGAAAAAUGAGCGAAUCAUAGAACUCAUCGAACUAUCUCAACGAAAAUUCCUCAA
This 265-nucleotide long non-coding RNA is filed under the name Ananas comosus (pineapple). RNAcentral describes it as "long non-coding RNA (ACOM_LNC002641)". The record is from RNAcentral. Lineage: Eukaryota; Viridiplantae; Streptophyta; Magnoliopsida; Poales; Bromeliaceae.